UACGGAGGGGGCUAGCGUUGUUCGGAAUUACUGGGCGUAAAGCGCGCGUAGGCGGCUUAGCAAGUUAGAGGUGAAAGCCCGGAGCUCAACUCCGGAAUUGCCUUUAAAACUGCAAAGCUAGAAUCAUGGAGAGGUGAGUGGAAUUCCGAGUGUAGAGGUGAAAUUCGUAGAUAUUCGGAAGAACACCAGUGGCGAAGGCGGCUUACUGGUCCGGUACUGACGCUGAGGUGCGAAAGCGUGGGGAGCAAACAGG
This 253-nucleotide ribosomal RNA is filed under the name uncultured bacterium. Its description in RNAcentral is "partial 16S ribosomal RNA". It matches the Rfam family "Bacterial small subunit ribosomal RNA", at positions 524 to 776 of the family's 1533-position model. The record is from RNAcentral.